Molecule: long non-coding RNA, 127 nt
Organism: Haliotis rubra (blacklip abalone)
Lineage: Eukaryota; Metazoa; Mollusca; Gastropoda; Lepetellida; Haliotidae
Exons: 3
Source: RefSeq, a predicted model, not a curated record
UAUCUGUCAUACAGUCACACGGAGGUUACAGUCGGUAUUGACAUUUUGAAUUUUCACAUUCACCAAUAAAUUCAACAUUAAACAUUCCAGAGCUAUACUUGUGCAGACAUGGUUUUGUAUGAAAAUC